GUUCGAGAAUUGGAGUAAUGAUUGAUAGGGACGGUUGGGGGCAUCCGUAUUCCCAAGCGAGAGGUGAAAUUCUUGGACCUUGGGAAGACGAACAGAUGCGAAAGCGUUUGCCAAGGACGUUCUCUUUAAUCAAGAACGAAAGUUGGGGGAUCGAAGACGAUCAGAUACCGUCGUAGUCUCAACUAUAAACUAUGCCAGCUAGGGAUCGGCGGGAUCUUGUCACGGAUCCGUCGGCACCUUACGAGAAAUCAAAGCAUUUGGGUUCCGGGGGGAGUAUGGUCGCAAGGCUGAAACUUAAAGGAAUUGACGGAAGGGCACCACCAGGAGUGGAGCCUGUGGCUUAAUUUGACUCAACACGGGAAAACUUACCAGGUCCGGACAUAGUAAGGAUUGACAGAUUGAGAGCUCUUUCU
Molecule: ribosomal RNA, 413 nt
Filed under: uncultured marine eukaryote
Lineage: Eukaryota
Description: SSU rRNA
Rfam family: Eukaryotic small subunit ribosomal RNA
Source: RNAcentral